CACCCUAUGGUACUCCCAAUGACAGCCCACCCCAGACAACACCCUAUGGUACUCCCAAUGACAGCCCACCCCAGACAACACCCUAUGGAACUCCCAAUGACAGCCCACCCCAGACAACACCCUAUGGUACUCCCAAUGACAGCCCACCCCAGACAACACCCUAGGUACUCCCAAUGACAGCCCACCACAGUGCACCACCCUCUGGUACUCCCAAUGACAGCCCACCCCAGACAACACCCUAUGGUACUCCCAAUGACAGCCCACCCCAGACAACACCCUAUGGUACUCCCAAUGACAGCCCACCCCAGACAACACCCUAUGGUACUCCCAAGGACAGCCCACCCCAGACAACACCCUAUGGUACUCCCAAUGACAGCCCACCCCAGACAACACCCUAUGGUACUCCCAAUGACAGCCCACCCCAGACAACACAGUACAACACCCUAUGGUACUCCCAAUGACAGCCCACCCCAGACAACACCCUAUGGAACUCCCAAUGACAGCCCACCCCAGACAACACCCUAUGGUACUCCCAAUGACAGCCCACCCCAGACAACACCCUAUGGUACUCCCAAUGACAGCCCACCCCAGACAACACCAUAUGGUACUCCCAAUGACAGCCCACCCCAGACAACACAGUGCACCACCCUAUGGUACUCCCAAUGACAGCCCACCCCAGACAACACAGUGCACCACCCUAUGGUACUCCCAAUGACAGCCCACCCCAGACAACACAGUGCACCACCCUAUGGUACUCCCAAUGACAGCCCACCCCAGACAACACUGUGCACCACCCUAUGGUACUCCCAAUGACAGCCCACCCCAGACAACACAGUGUACCACCCUAUGGUACUCCCAAUGACAGCCCACCCCAGACAACACCCUAUGGUACUCCCAAUGACAGCCCACCCCAGACAACACCCUAUGGUACUCCCAAUGACAGCCCACCCCAGACAACACAGUGCACCACCCUAUGGUACUCCCAAUGACAGCCCAUCCCAGACAACACCCUAUGGUACUCCCAAUGACAGCCCAGCCCAGACAACACCCUAUGGUACUCCCAAUGACAGCCCACCCCAGACAACACCCUACCCUAUGGUACUCCCAAUGACAGCCCACCCCAGACAACACCCUAUGGUACUCCCAAUGACAGCCCACCCCAGACAACACCCUAUGGUACU
Oncorhynchus tshawytscha (Chinook salmon) is the source of this 1181-nucleotide long non-coding RNA. Lineage: Eukaryota; Metazoa; Chordata; Actinopteri; Salmoniformes; Salmonidae. The record is from Ensembl.